This 260-nucleotide non-coding RNA is filed under the name Clostridium argentinense. Its description in RNAcentral is "T-box sequence". It matches the Rfam family "T-box leader". Rfam says of the family: Uncharged tRNA acts as the effector for transcription antitermination of genes in the T-box leader family. Lineage: Bacteria; Bacillati; Bacillota; Clostridia; Eubacteriales; Clostridiaceae. The record is from RNAcentral.
CUAAAUUUGAUGAAGAGAACAAGUAAGUUAUGAUAUCUGUCCUACAGAGAGUUGGCGUUAUGCUGAAAGCCAAUGUUCAGAACAUAUCUGAAAAUCAUCUCUGAGAAGUAAAACUGAAGCUCACUUUAGGUAAGUUUUACCGGAGUUCCACCGUUAAAAGGAACGCGUAUCAUGUGUACGUAGCUGAGUGCUAUAAACUAAUAUAGUGUUUUUUGGUUUAUAGAAUUAGGGUGGUAACGCGAGUACAACUCGUCCCUUUU